This is a small nucleolar RNA of Hevea brasiliensis (rubber tree), 108 nucleotides long. NCBI's taxonomy places the organism in Eukaryota, Viridiplantae, Streptophyta, Magnoliopsida, Malpighiales, Euphorbiaceae. The record is from RefSeq and is a predicted model, not a curated record.
AUGCCAUGGUGUGGACACUAUCUUUGUAUGUCUUUGUACCUUUCUCAUGCAUCAUAGAGUGAUUCUCCUUCUUUUUGUCUGAAAGUAUUCAAUUCUACUUUUAAUUUU